UGAGCGUCCCAACCCAUUCGCGGAAGCUCGCAGGUUCCAUAAUCGCCUUCGCCUUUUGACCACGGAUGUACUGGCACUGGUGUGAAAAGCGAUGUGAGGAAGGUCGGUGCGGUUUCGCCCCGGCCUUUUUUGU
Molecule: small RNA, 133 nt
Filed under: uncultured Gellertiella sp.
Lineage: Bacteria; Pseudomonadati; Pseudomonadota; Alphaproteobacteria; Hyphomicrobiales; Rhizobiaceae
Description: Alphaproteobacterial sRNA ar35
Rfam family: Alphaproteobacterial sRNA ar35
Source: RNAcentral